RNAcentral lists this ribosomal RNA (327 nucleotides) under uncultured eukaryote. RNAcentral's name for it is "partial 18S ribosomal RNA". It matches the Rfam family "Eukaryotic small subunit ribosomal RNA", at positions 1470 to 1796 of the family's 1831-position model. The record is from RNAcentral.
CCCCUAGAUGUUCUGGGCCGCACGCGCGCUACACUGAAGGAGGCAGCGUGUACUCCUGGAUCGAAAGAUUUGGGUAACCCGCGAAUCUCCUUCGUGCUAGGGAUUGAGGUUUGCAAUUAUCCUUCAUGAACGAGGAAUUCCCAGUAAGUGCAAGUCAUAAGCUUGCGCUGACUACGUCCCUGCCCUUUGUACACACCGCCCGUCGCUACUACCGAUUGAAUGAUUUAGUGAGGACUUCGGACUGGGACCGAUGCGGCUUUCGGGCUGCGUCGGUAUUCUGGAAAGAUGUCCAAACUGUAUCAUUUAGAGGAAGUAAAAGUCGUAACA